This is a long non-coding RNA of Esox lucius (northern pike), 1223 nucleotides long. The record is from Ensembl. NCBI's taxonomy places the organism in Eukaryota, Metazoa, Chordata, Actinopteri, Esociformes, Esocidae.
AUUGGCUUCUAAAAAUUCUGAUAAGUUGAAGAUCUCAGACAUUAAAAAAAACAAUUACAGAUGAAAGUCAAUGCCAUAGCUUUUUACAUUAAUCUGAAUAUUGCUAUCUUGUAGAACCACAGCAAAGCCUGCAGUCAGCCUAAGAACGUAACUUUGUUGCAAUCAACCCAUCAUAAUCAAAACAAUAGCACCAACUCAACUCAAACUCCUUUACAGAAACACCACCUAAAUCACAACUGAAAGUGACACACAUUGGAGAAUAAAAUGAUAAAAUGUAAAAUAUAUAUACAUAUAUCUGUAAACUCCGGCUUCCGUGUACAUUAUGCGGCUCCCCAGGAGAGAACAGUGUUAAACACCCAUCUCAACACUUCACCACCAUGUCCCCUCUUUAUGAUAAUAAAAUAAUUGAAAAGAAAAAUACGAGAGUGAUUUUGUUUAAAGAUAAAAUAUAUAGAUAUGGAACAUUGAUCAGAAAUGUCCCCUUACCUGCACCCUUUGAAUUAUUACGUAUUUUAAAGUGUGGAUGGAUAAGAUAGCUUUAGGCCUGGCGCCAUACCUAACGGCCACAUCAUGUCUAGCCUAUCCUUGGUGUCAGUGAAAUGUCUAAAGCCUAGUCUAACACACUCAAUGCUGGAUUUUGCAUAGCAGUUGAGCAGGUUCCUAAUCAAUAAACAGAAUACAAUGCAUACAGAAGCUUGUUGGUGAUCAUAAUGCAAUUAAUACAAAAAUCACAAUUAAGAUAAUCCAAGUAAUUCCUGGGUACUGUACCUAUUUUCCUACAUAAAAAAUCUGUCCCCAACAAAAGCAGUAAGGCUUCAGAGGGUGUGGUAUAUGGCCAAUAUACCACAGCCAAGACAUUCCUUGACACAGCGCUUAGCCAUGUUAUAUCAGCAAUGUAUCACACACUCCUGUCUUAUUGCUCUUAUAAACCGGUUACCAACAUAAUUACAUCUGUAAAAAUGUAUGUGAGGUCAUACCUGUGGUAUACGGUCAGUCAGAGAGCAUUCAGGGUUAAAACCACCCGGUUUAUAAGGAUAUAUAACAAACAAUUAUUAGUCAUCAGAACAAAUAACUGUGUACACAGAAAUACAUUUUCCUAUGAGUCUGUAUGUUUUUGUAAAACAUCUCAGAGGAUGUCCAUUCAUCAAAUCUAUGAGACAAGUAUUUGAUACACUGCCGAUUUUGCAGGUUUUCCCACUUACAAAGCAUGUAGAAGUCUGUAA